Molecule: ribosomal RNA, 404 nt
Filed under: uncultured bacterium
Lineage: Bacteria
Description: partial 16S ribosomal RNA
Rfam family: Bacterial small subunit ribosomal RNA
Source: RNAcentral
AUUGAACGCUGGCGGCAGGCCUAACACAUGCAAGUCGAGCGAGCGGCGGACGGGUGAGUAAUGCCUGGGAAUUGCCCAGUCGAGGGGGAUAACAGUUGGAAACGACUGCUAAUACCGCAUACGAUUGGAUUGCCCAGGUGGGAUUAGCUAGUUGGUGAGGUAAUGGCUCACCAAGGCGACGAUCCCUAGCUGGUCUGAGAGGAUGAUCAGCAACACGGGAACUGAGACACGGUCCAGGCUACGACGGCAGGCAGCAGUGGGGAAUAUUGCACAGUGGGGGAAACCCUGAUGCAGCCAUGGCGCGUGUGUGAAGAAGGCCCUCGGGUUGGAAAGAAAUUUCAGCGAGGAGGCGUUACUCGCAGAAGAAGCACCGGCUAACUCCGUGCCAGCCGCCGCGGUAAUUC